RNAcentral lists this ribosomal RNA (440 nucleotides) under uncultured bacterium. RNAcentral describes it as "partial 16S ribosomal RNA". It matches the Rfam family "Bacterial small subunit ribosomal RNA", at positions 338 to 795 of the family's 1533-position model. The record is from RNAcentral.
CCUACGGGAGGCAGCAGUGGGGAAUAUUGCACAAUGGGGGAAACCCUGAUGCAGCGACGCCGCGUGAGUGAAGAAGUCAUUCGUUAUGUAAAGCUCUAUCAGCAGGGAAGAAAAUGACGGUACCUGAGUAAGAAGCCCCGGCUAACUACGUGCCAGCAGCCGCGGUAAUACGUAGGGGGCAAGCGUUAUCCGGAUUUACUGGGUGUAAAGGGAGCGUAGACGGCGAUGCAAGUCUGAAGUGAAAUGCCUGUGCUCAACCCUGGAACUGCUUUGGAAACUGUAUAGCUGGAGGGCAGGAGAGGUAAGUGGAAUUUCUAGUGUAGCGGUGAAAUGCGUAGAUAUUAGGAGGAACACCAGGGGCGAAGGCGGCUUACUGGACUGUAACUGACGUUGAGGCUCGAAAGCGUGGGGAGCAAACAGGAUUAGAUACCCCAGUAGUC